This 263-nucleotide long non-coding RNA is filed under the name Pan troglodytes (chimpanzee). RNAcentral describes it as "long non-coding RNA NONPTRT015123". Lineage: Eukaryota; Metazoa; Chordata; Mammalia; Primates; Hominidae. The record is from RNAcentral.
GAGAACCAUAGGUGUUACCACCAAUGGCAUCAACCUGGCCCGGCUACUGCCCCAGCUUCAGAAGGCUGGUCUCAGUGCCAUCAACAUCAGCCUGGACACCCUGGUGCCUGCCAAGUUUGAGUUCAUUGUCCGCAGGAAAGGUGAACUGUGUGGUGAUGCGAGGCCUUAACGAGGAUGAACUCCUGGACUUUGCGGCCUUGACUGAGGGCCUCCCCCUGGAUGUGCGCUUCAUAGAGUAUAUGCCCUUUGAUGGUCAGUGACCA